Molecule: transfer RNA, 77 nt
Filed under: Candidatus Bathyarchaeota archaeon
Lineage: Archaea; Thermoproteati; Candidatus Bathyarchaeota
Description: tRNA-Ala
Rfam family: tRNA
About the family: Transfer RNA (tRNA) molecules are approximately 80 nucleotides in length. Their secondary structure includes four short double-helical elements and three loops (D, anti-codon, and T loops). Further hydrogen bonds mediate the characteristic L-shaped molecular structure. tRNAs have two regions of fundamental functional importance: the anti-codon, which is responsible for specific mRNA codon recognition, and the 3' end, to which the tRNAs corresponding amino acid is attached (by aminoacyl-tRNA synthetases). tRNAs cope with the degeneracy of the genetic code in two manners: having more than one tRNA (with a specific anti-codon) for a particular amino acid; and 'wobble' base-pairing, i.e. permitting non-standard base-pairing at the 3rd anti-codon position.
Source: RNAcentral
GGGCGAGUAGCUCAGUUAGGGAGAGCAGGAGCUUUGCAAGCUCAAGGUCGAGGGUUCGAUCCCCUCCUUGUCCACCA